CAGAGGGGGCAAGCGUUGUUCGGAAUUACUGGGCGUAAAGGGCGCGUAGGCGGCCUGCUAAGUCGAACGUGAAAUCCCUGGGCUCAACCCAGGAACUGCGUCCGAUACUGGUUGGCUUGAAUCCGGGAGAGGGAUGUGGAAUUCCAGGUGUAGCGGUGAAAUGCGUAGAUAUCUGGAGGAACACCGGUGGCGAAGGCGUCAUCCUGGACCGGCAUUGACGCUGAGGCGCGAAAGCCAGGGGAGCAAACGGGAUUAGAUACCCCGGUAGUCCUGGCCCUAAACGAUGAAUGCUUGGUGUGGCGGGUAUCGAUCCCUGCCGUGCCGAAGCUAACGCAUUAAGCAUUCCGCCUGGGGAGUACGGUCGCAAGGCUG
RNAcentral lists this ribosomal RNA (372 nucleotides) under uncultured organism. RNAcentral's name for it is "bacterial SSU rRNA". It matches the Rfam family "Bacterial small subunit ribosomal RNA", at positions 526 to 896 of the family's 1533-position model. The record is from RNAcentral.